CCUACGGGGGGUAGCAGUGAGGAAUAUUGGUCAAUGGCCGGAAGGCUGAACCAGCCAAGCCGCGUGAGGGAGGAAGGCGCAGAGCGUCGCAGACCUCUUUUGUCGGGGGACAAAAGGCCGGACUCGUCCGCUCCUGAGGGUACCCGGAGAAAAAGCAUCGGCUAACUACGUGCCAGCAGCCGCGGUAAUACGUAGGUUGCAAGCGUUGUCCGGAUUUAAUGGGUGUACAGGGCUUGUAGCCGGGAAGGCAAGUCAGAUGUGAAAUCCGGAGGCUCAACCUCCGAAUUGCAGUUGAAACUGUUUUUCUUGAGUACUGGAGAGGCAGACGGAAUGCCUGGUGUAGCGGUGAAAUGCGUAGAUAUAAGGAGGAACACCAGUGGCGAAGGCGGUCUGCUGGACAGCAACUGACGGUGAGGCGCGAAAGCGUGGGGAGCAAACAGGAUUAGAUACCCUAGUAGUC
Molecule: ribosomal RNA, 460 nt
Filed under: uncultured bacterium
Lineage: Bacteria
Description: partial 16S ribosomal RNA
Rfam family: Bacterial small subunit ribosomal RNA
Source: RNAcentral